Molecule: ribosomal RNA, 497 nt
Filed under: uncultured bacterium
Lineage: Bacteria
Description: partial 16S ribosomal RNA
Rfam family: Bacterial small subunit ribosomal RNA
Source: RNAcentral
GAUGAACGCUGGCGGCGUGCCUAAUACAUGCAAGUCGAGCGAACGGACGAGAAGCUUGCUUUUCUGAUGUUAGCGGCGGACGGGUGAGUAACACGUGGAUAACCUACCUAUAAGACUGGGAUAACUUCGGGAAACCGGAGCUAAUACCGGAUAAUAUUUUGAACCGCAUGGUUCAAAAGUGAAAGACGGUCUUGCUGUCACUUCUCGAUGGAUCCGCGCUGCAUUAGCUAGUUGGUAAGGUAACGGCUUACCAAGGCAACGAUGCAUAGCCGACCUGAGAGGGGGAUCGCCCACACUGGAACUGAGACACGGUCCAGAGUCCUACGGGAGGCAGCAGUAGGGAAUCUUCCGCAAUGGGCGAAAGCCUGACGGAGCAACGCGGCGUGAGUGAUGGAGGUCUUCGGAUCGUAAAACUCUGUUAUUAGGGAAGAACAUAUGUGUAAGUAACUGUGCACAUCUUGACGGUACCUAAUCAGAAAGCCACGGCUAACUACGUG